This 357-nucleotide ribosomal RNA is filed under the name uncultured bacterium. Its description in RNAcentral is "partial 16S ribosomal RNA". It matches the Rfam family "Bacterial small subunit ribosomal RNA", at positions 527 to 881 of the family's 1533-position model. The record is from RNAcentral.
GUAGGGGGCAAGCGUUAUCCGGAUUUACUGGGUGUAAAGGGAGCGUAGACGGCUGUGCAAGUCUGAAGUGAAAAGGCAUGGCUCAACCUGUGGGACUGCUUUGGAAACUGUGCAGCUAGAGUGUCGGAAAGGUAAGUGGAAUUUCCAGUGUAGCGGUGAAAUGCGUAGAUAUUGGAAGGAACACCAGUGGCGAAGGCGGCUUACUGGACGAGAACUGACGUUGAGGCUCGAAAGCGUGGGGAGCAAACAGGAUUAGAUACCCUGGUAGUCCACGCCGUAAACGAUGACUGCUAGGUGUCGGGUNGCNAANGCUAUUCGGUGCCGCNGCUANCGCANUANGCNGUCCNCCUGGGGAGU